RNAcentral lists this ribosomal RNA (241 nucleotides) under uncultured bacterium. Its description in RNAcentral is "partial 16S ribosomal RNA". It matches the Rfam family "Bacterial small subunit ribosomal RNA", at positions 1251 to 1500 of the family's 1533-position model. The record is from RNAcentral.
UACCGGGCGACCGGAUGCCGAUCUCGAAAACCUGUCCCAGUUCGGACUGGAGUCUGCAACCCGACUCCACGAAGUUGGAUUCGCUAGUAAUCGCGCAUCAGCCAUGGCGCGGUGAAUACGUUCCCGGGCCUUGUACACACCGCCCGUCAAGCCAUGGGAGCCGGGGGCGCCUGAAGUCCGGGACCGCGAGGACCGGCCUAAGGCGAAACUGGUGACUGGGGCUAAGUCGUAACAAGGUAUC